GCUAGUAUCUCACAGCAUGAGGACAACGUCUACACAUAAGUAUUUCCAUGCAUUAGAGGGGGGAGACUGUCAGAGAAGAAAUGUUCUCUGUGCUAAGGAGAUGCACGCUGACUGGGACUGGCAUGAUGAAUGCCAUUCUGCAAGAGCAAAGGUCAAGCAUCUACAGUAAACCAGCAAAGGAAAAGAUCGGACCAAUGCACUCUGUCUUUGCCUUGUGUGUGUUUGCUGUCACCCUCUUGGCCCCAGCUGGAUGGAUAAUGCAUCACAUCCCAGAGUACCGACAGGGAUCACCACCACAACCUUGACCCCUGGCCUCUGGAAGAACACCACACAGUUAUUAUGUCAGAGCAUUUCAGUAUGUAAAAUGUCAAAAGAAUAAAGAGUUUGAAAUGA
This is a long non-coding RNA of Cheilinus undulatus (humphead wrasse), 393 nucleotides long. RefSeq lists it as uncharacterized. The transcript has 2 exons. NCBI's taxonomy places the organism in Eukaryota, Metazoa, Chordata, Actinopteri, Labriformes, Labridae. The record is from RefSeq and is a predicted model, not a curated record.